CUGCUGAUCAAGUGAUGAUGUUUUCAUGUCUCUUCUCUGAGUAAAAUCUGAAGAGUCUGAAUGAUUCUGACCCAGCAG
RNAcentral lists this small nucleolar RNA (78 nucleotides) under Oryzias melastigma (Indian medaka). RNAcentral's name for it is "Small nucleolar RNA SNORD111 (ENSOMEG00000014411.1)". Lineage: Eukaryota; Metazoa; Chordata; Actinopteri; Beloniformes; Adrianichthyidae. The record is from RNAcentral.